Molecule: ribosomal RNA, 497 nt
Filed under: uncultured bacterium
Lineage: Bacteria
Description: partial 16S ribosomal RNA
Rfam family: Bacterial small subunit ribosomal RNA
Source: RNAcentral
GACGAACGCUGGCGGCGUGCCUAAUACAUGCAAGUUGAGCGCUGAAGGUUGGUACUUGUACCAACUGGAUGAGCAGCGAACGGGUGAGUAACGCGUGGGGAAUCUGCCUUUGAGCGGGGGACAACAUUUGGAAACGAAUGCUAAUACCGCAUAAAAACUUUAAACACAAGUUUUAAGUGUGAAAGAUGCAAUUGCAUCACUCAAAGAUGAUCCCGCGUUGUAUUAGCUAGUUGGUGAGGUAAAGGCUCACCAAGGCGAUGAUACAUAGCCGACCUGAGAGGGUGAUCGGCCACAUUGGGACUGAGACACGGCCCAAACUCCUACGGGAGGCAGCAGUAGGGAAUCUUCGGCAAUGGACGGAAGUCUGACCGAGCAACGCCGCGUGAGUGAAGAAGGUUUUCGGAUCGUAAAACUCUGUUGGUAGAGAAGAACGUUGGUGAGAGUGGAAAGCUCAUCAAGUGACGGUAACUACCCAGAAAGGGACGGCUAACUACGUG